ACAACAUUCGGACCAUCAAUCUACCCAACAUUAUCACCCGCUCGGUGGAAGAUCUUCCCUUUAUCGU
Molecule: microRNA precursor, 67 nt
Filed under: Bombyx mori (domestic silkworm)
Lineage: Eukaryota; Metazoa; Arthropoda; Insecta; Lepidoptera; Bombycidae
Description: mir-2774 microRNA precursor family
Rfam family: mir-2774 microRNA precursor family
Source: Rfam by way of RNAcentral